UGACAUCAACCUGGAUGGAGUUGACACACAUCUCAAUGAGGUUGACAUAGCUUCAACAUCUUUGAGAAAAAAACUAAAGGGAGAAUCAAGCCACAAGUGAAAUAUCAACAAGUAUUAAUAAUUAAUAUAUCAAACAAAUAAGUAAGUGUAAACUAUCAUACCUUUAAAGACUAAUGAUCCUUAACCUUAUCAUCUAGAACAACAUUUAGAAUUUGUAAGCUACUAAUGAACUCAUUAAGCCCUUAAAAAAGUCCAACCCUUCCUACAAUUGUGACACCGGAGUAUACAGACCUAAUAAACAUUAGGAUAGUAAAAAAAAUCCAUAAUAGUAAGGACAUGCCGUCCAGAAGCUACACAAAACAAAAAAAAUAUAACCUUAAAAUUUUCAAAAAAUAAAAACUCAAAUCAAGGCGUCAGAACAAACA
RNAcentral lists this long non-coding RNA (425 nucleotides) under Lathyrus oleraceus (garden pea). RNAcentral describes it as "Pisum sativum (pea) long non-coding RNA (PSAT_LNC003449)". Lineage: Eukaryota; Viridiplantae; Streptophyta; Magnoliopsida; Fabales; Fabaceae. The record is from RNAcentral.